Molecule: microRNA precursor, 129 nt
Organism: Gossypium arboreum
Lineage: Eukaryota; Viridiplantae; Streptophyta; Magnoliopsida; Malvales; Malvaceae
Rfam family: MIR7502 microRNA precursor family
Source: Rfam
UGUUAAAAGUUCCAUCAAUUUUUACUGUUAAAAACUGACGUCAACACGUAACACGUGGCGUGUCAUGUGUACCUUAUUUUGUUUACAUAGACCAAUUUUUAAUAGUAAAAAUGGAUGAAAUGUUUAACA